RNAcentral lists this ribosomal RNA (2906 nucleotides) under Streptococcus pneumoniae. RNAcentral's name for it is "23S ribosomal RNA". It matches the Rfam family "Bacterial large subunit ribosomal RNA". Lineage: Bacteria; Bacillati; Bacillota; Bacilli; Lactobacillales; Streptococcaceae. The record is from RNAcentral.
AGGUUAAGUUAAUAAGGGCGCACGGUGGAUGCCUUGGCACUAGGAGCCGACGAAGGACGUGACAAACGACGAUAUGCCUUGGGUAGCUGUAAGUAAGCGAUGAUCCAGGGAUUUCCGAAUGGGGGAACCCAACAGGUAAUACCUGUUACCUACAUCUGUUAAGGAUGUGAGGAGGAAGACGCAGUGAACUGAAACAUCUAAGUAGCUGCAGGAAGAGAAAGCAAAAGCGAUUGCCUUAGUAGCGGCGAGCGAAACGGCAGAAGGGCAAACCGAAGAGUUUACUCUUCGGGGUUGUAGGACUGCAAUGUGGACUCAAAGAUUAUAGAAGAAUGAUUUGGGAAGAUCAGCCAAAGAGAGUAAUAGCCUCGUAUUUAAAAUAGUCUUUGUACUUAGCAGUAUCCUGAGUACGGCGGGACACGUGAAAUCCCGUCGGAAUCUGGGAGGACCAUCUCCCAACCCUAAAUACUCCCUAGUGACCGAUAGUGAACCAGUACCGUGAGGGAAAGGUGAAAAGCACCCCGGGAGGGGAGUGAAAUAGAACCUGAAACCGUGUGCCUACAACAAGUUCGAGCCCGUUAAUGGGUGAGAGCGUGCCUUUUGUAGAAUGAACCGGCGAGUUACGUUAUGAUGCGAGGUUAAGUUGAAGAGACGGAGCCGUAGGGAAACCGAGUCUGAAUAGGGCGCCUUAGUAUCAUGACGUAGACCCGAAACCAUGUGACCUACCCAUGAGCAGGUUGAAGGUGCGGUAAGACGCACUGGAGGACCGAACCAGGGCACGUUGAAAAGUGCUUGGAUGACUUGUGGGUAGCGGAGAAAUUCCAAACGAACUUGGAGAUAGCUGGUUCUCUCCGAAAUAGCUUUAGGGCUAGCGUCGACAUUAGAGAUUCUUGGAGGUAGAGCACUGUUUGGGUGAGGGGUCCAUCCCGGAUUACCAAUCUCAGAUAAACUCCGAAUGCCAAUGAAUUAUGGUCGGCAGUCAGACUGCGAGUGCUAAGAUCCGUAGUCGAAAGGGAAACAGCCCAGACCACCAGCUAAGGUCCCAAAAUAAUUGUUAAGUGGAAAAGGAUGUGGGGUUGCACAGACAACUAGGAUGUUAGCUUAGAAGCAGCUAUUCAUUCAAAGAGUGCGUAAUAGCUCACUAGUCGAGUGACCCUGCGCCGAAAAUGUACCGGGGCUAAAACAAUUUACCGAAGCUGUGGAUACCUUUAUAGGUAUGGUAGGAGAGCGUUCUAUGUGUGAUGAAGGUAUACCGUGAGGAGUGCUGGAACGCAUAGAAGUGAGAAUGCCGGUAUGAGUAGCGAAAGACAGGUGAGAAUCCUGUCCACCGUAAGACUAAGGUUUCCAGGGGAAGGCUCGUCCGCCCUGGGUUAGUCGGGACCUAAGGAGAGACCGAAAGGUGUAUCCGAUGGACAACAGGUUGAUAUUCCUGUACUAGAGUAUGUAGUGAUGGAGGGACGCAGUAGGCUAACUAAAGCAGACGAUUGGAAGAGUCUGUCUAAGCAGUGAGGUGUGAAUUGAGUCAAAUGCUUAAUUCUAUAACAUUGAGCUGUGAUGGGGAGCGAAGUUUAGUAGCGAAGUUAGUGACGUCACACUGCCAAGAAAAGCUUCUAGCGUUUAAACAUACUCUACCCGUACCGCAAACCGACACAGGUAGUCGAGGCGAGUAGCCUCAGGUGAGCGAGAGAACUCUCGUUAAGGAACUCGGCAAAAUGACCCCGUAACUUCGGGAGAAGGGGUGUGCUGACUUAAAGUCAGCCGCAGUGAAUAGGCCCAAGCAACUGUUUAUCAAAAACACAGCUCUCUGCUAAAUCGUAAGAUGAUGUAUAGGGGGUGACGCCUGCCCGGUGCUGGAAGGUUAAGAGGAGUGCUUAGCGUAAGCGAAGGUAUGAAUUGAAGCCCCAGUAAACGGCGGCCGUAACUAUAACGGUCCUAAGGUAGCGAAAUUCCUUGUCGGGUAAGUUCCGACCCGCACGAAAGGCGUAAUGAUUUGGGCACUGUCUCAACGAGAGACUCGGUGAAAUUUUAGUACCUGUGAAGAUGCAGGUUACCCGCGACAGGACGGAAAGACCCCAUGGAGCUUUACUGCAGUUUGAUAUUGAGUGUCUGUACCACAUGUACAGGAUAGGUAGGAGUCUAAGAGAUCGGGACGCCAGUUUCGAAGGAGACGCUGUUGGGAUACUACCCUUGUGUUAUGGCCACUCUAACCCAGAUAGGUGAUCCCUAUCGGAGACAGUGUCUGACGGGCAGUUUGACUGGGGCGGUCGCCUCCUAAAAGGUAACGGAGGCGCCCAAAGGUUCCCUCAGAAUGGUUGGAAAUCAUUCGCAGAGUGUAAAGGUAUAAGGGAGCUUGACUGCGAGAGCUACAACUCGAGCAGGGACGAAAGUCGGGCUUAGUGAUCCGGUGGUUCCGUAUGGAAGGGCCAUCGCUCAACGGAUAAAAGCUACCCUGGGGAUAACAGGCUUAUCUCCCCCAAGAGUUCACAUCGACGGGGAGGUUUGGCACCUCGAUGUCGGCUCGUCGCAUCCUGGGGCUGUAGUCGGUCCCAAGGGUUGGGCUGUUCGCCCAUUAAAGCGGCACGCGAGCUGGGUUCAGAACGUCGUGAGACAGUUCGGUCCCUAUCCGUCGCGGGCGUAGGAAAUUUGAGAGGAUCUGCUCCUAGUACGAGAGGACCAGAGUGGACUUACCGCUGGUGUACCAGUUGUCUUGCCAAAGGCAUCGCUGGGUAGCUAUGUAGGGAAGGGAUAAACGCUGAAAGCAUCUAAGUGUGAAACCCACCUCAAGAUGAGAUUUCCCAUGAUUAUAUAUCAGUAAGAGCCCUGAGAGAUGAUCAGGUAGAUAGGUUAGAAGUGGAAGUGUGGCGACACAUGUAGCGGACUAAUACUAAUAGCUCGAGGACUUAUCCAAA